GUCGAGCGAACAGACGAGGAGCUUGCUCCUCUGACGUUAGCGGCGGACGGGUGAGUAACACGUGGAUAACCUACCUAUAAGACUGGGAUAACUUCGGGAAACCGGAGCUAAUACCGGAUAAUAUAUUGAACCGCAUGGUUCAAUAGUGAAAGACGGUUUUGCUGUCACUUAUAGAUGGAUCCGCGCCGCAUUAGCUAGUUGGUAAGGUAACGGCUUACCAAGGCAACGAUGCGUAGCCGACCUGAGAGGGUGAUCGGCCACACUGGAACUGAGACACGGUCCAGACUCCUACGGGAGGCAGCAGUAGGGAAUCUUCCGCAAUGGGCGAAAGCCUGACGGAGCAACGCCGCGUGAGUGAUGAAGGUCUUCGGAUCGUAAAGCUCUGUUAUUAGGGAAGAACAAAUGUGUAAGUAACUAUGCACGUCUUGACGGUACCUAAUCAGAAAGCCACGGCUAACUACGUGCCAGCAGCCGCGGUAAUACGUAGGUGGCAAGCGUUAUCCGGAAUUAUUGGGCGUAAAGCGCGCGUAGGCGGUUUUUUAAGUCUGAUGUGAAAGCCCACGGCUCAACCGUGGAGGGUCAUUGGAAACUGGAAAACUUGAGUGCAGAAGAGGAAAGUGGAAUUCCAUGUGUAGCGGUGAAGUGCGCAGAGAUAUGGAGGAACACCAGUGGCGAAGGCGACUUUCUGG
RNAcentral lists this ribosomal RNA (689 nucleotides) under uncultured Staphylococcus sp. Its description in RNAcentral is "bacterial SSU rRNA". It matches the Rfam family "Bacterial small subunit ribosomal RNA", at positions 61 to 732 of the family's 1533-position model. Lineage: Bacteria; Bacillati; Bacillota; Bacilli; Caryophanales; Staphylococcaceae. The record is from RNAcentral.